RNAcentral lists this ribosomal RNA (253 nucleotides) under uncultured bacterium. Its description in RNAcentral is "partial 16S ribosomal RNA". It matches the Rfam family "Bacterial small subunit ribosomal RNA", at positions 524 to 776 of the family's 1533-position model. The record is from RNAcentral.
UACGAAGGGGGCUAGCGCUGUUCGGAAUUACUGGGCGUAAAGGGCGCGUAGGCGGCCUGCUAAGUCGAACGUGAAAUCCCCGAGCUCAACUCGGGAACUGCGUCCGAUACUGGCAGGCUUGAAUCCGGGAGAGGGAUGCGGAAUUCCAGGUGUAGCGGUGAAAUGCGUAGAUAUCUGGAGGAACACCGGUGGCGAAGGCGGCAUCCUGGACCGGUAUUGACACUGAGGCGCGAAAGCCAGGGGAGCAAACGGG